Molecule: ribosomal RNA, 322 nt
Filed under: uncultured eukaryote
Lineage: Eukaryota
Description: partial 18S ribosomal RNA
Rfam family: Eukaryotic small subunit ribosomal RNA
Source: RNAcentral
CCCUUAGAUGUCCUGGGCCGCACGCGCGCUACACUGACAUGUUCAACAAGUUUCUCCUAGUUCGACAGGACUGGGAAAUCUUUGAACGCAUGUCGUGAUAGGGAUAGAUCAUUGCAAUUAUUGAUCUUGAACGAGGAAUUCCUAGUAAACGCGAGUCAUCAGCUCGCAUUGAUUACGUCCCUGCCCUUUGUACACACCACCCGUCGCACCUACCGAUUGAAUGUUUCGGUGAAGAUUCCGGAUAGGACUGAUUUGAUUUAUUUCAUUUCUGACCUAAAAGCUAUCUAAACCUCAACAUUUAGAGGAAGGUGAAGUCGUAACA